RNAcentral lists this ribosomal RNA (243 nucleotides) under uncultured bacterium. Its description in RNAcentral is "partial 16S ribosomal RNA". It matches the Rfam family "Bacterial small subunit ribosomal RNA", at positions 57 to 305 of the family's 1533-position model. The record is from RNAcentral.
GCAAGUCGAGCGCGAAAGCACUUCGGUGUGAGUAGAGCGGCGGACGGGUGAGUAACGCGUAGGAAUCUACCUGGUAGUGGGGGACAACCUGGUGAAAACCAGGCUAAUACCGCAUACGCCCUGAGGGGGAAAGCGGGGGAUCUUCGGACCUCGCGCUAUUGGAUGAGCCUGCGUUGGAUUAGCUGGUUGGUGGGGUAAAGGCCUACCAAGGCGACGAUCCAUAGCUGGUCUGAGAGGACGAUC